This 87-nucleotide transfer RNA is filed under the name Taibaiella sp. KBW10. Its description in RNAcentral is "tRNA-Leu". It matches the Rfam family "tRNA". From Rfam's summary of the family: Transfer RNA (tRNA) molecules are approximately 80 nucleotides in length. Their secondary structure includes four short double-helical elements and three loops (D, anti-codon, and T loops). Further hydrogen bonds mediate the characteristic L-shaped molecular structure. tRNAs have two regions of fundamental functional importance: the anti-codon, which is responsible for specific mRNA codon recognition, and the 3' end, to which the tRNAs corresponding amino acid is attached (by aminoacyl-tRNA synthetases). tRNAs cope with the degeneracy of the genetic code in two manners: having more than one tRNA (with a specific anti-codon) for a particular amino acid; and 'wobble' base-pairing, i.e. permitting non-standard base-pairing at the 3rd anti-codon position. Lineage: Bacteria; Pseudomonadati; Bacteroidota; Chitinophagia; Chitinophagales; Chitinophagaceae. The record is from RNAcentral.
GCGGCGGUGGCGAAACUGGUAGACGCGCAACGUUGAGGUCGUUGUGUUCGCAAGGACUUGGGAGUUCGAAUCUCCUCUGCCGCACCU